CCUACGGGAGGCAGCAGUGGGGAAUUUUCCGCAAUGGGCGAAAGCCUGACGGAGCAACGCCGCGUGAGGGAUGAAGGCCUCUGGGCUGUAAACCUCUUUUUUCAAGGAAGAAGAUCUGACGGUACUUGAAGAAUAAGCCACGGCUAAUUCCGUGCCAGCAGCCGCGGUAAUACGGGAGUGGCAAGCGUUAUCCGGAAUUAUUGGGCGUAAAGCGUCCGCAGGCGGCCUGGAAAGUCUGUCGUUAAAGCGUGGAGCUUAACUCCAUUUUAGCGAUGGAAACUACAAGGCUAGAGUGUGGUAGGGGCAGAGGGAAUUCCCGGUGUAGCGGUGAAAUGCGUAGAUAUCGGGAAGAACACCAGUGGCGAAGGCGCUCUGCUGGGCCAUAACUGACGCUCAUGGACGAAAGCCAGGGGAGCGAAAGGGAUUAGAUACCCCUGUAGUCCUGGCCGUAAACGAUGAACACUAGGUGUCGGGGGAAUCGACCCCCUCGGUGUCGUAGCCAACGCGUUAAGUGUUCCGCCUGGGGAGUACGCACGCAAGUGUGAAACUCAAAGGAAUUGACGG
Molecule: ribosomal RNA, 564 nt
Filed under: uncultured bacterium
Lineage: Bacteria
Description: bacterial SSU rRNA
Rfam family: Bacterial small subunit ribosomal RNA
Source: RNAcentral